GUUCCUCAUUUGAUUGGCCGUAACGUUGUACAGACUGAUUUAUUGGCGGUGGAAUCAAGUGGUCGGAUGGUACAGCAGCCGAUCUUGUAUUUGUAGUAAUUCCCUCAACGCCAAUUAACAGCAAACAUAUGAGUAGGCAUUCAUCUUCCACGAUCUAUACCUACACUUUGUCUAUUAACGUAAGUAAAAAAAAAAAAGUUCACAGCUUACCACUGAGAAUAGACACAAUGACAAUCAACCAUCUAUGUACGUAUUGAAUUGGGUGAUACGAAUUUCGCUGCUCAUGGUUGGAUCCGAACAUAUUUUUCGAUGCCGGGCAAAAGUUAUGAAUUCGAAAAGACAUGAAAAAUUAGCAUACAAAUACAAUAAUGUAAAAUGAAAAAGAAAUUAAAUUUAUAGAAAAUGUGGUGGAUUUAUAAUGUUGCCGUAUGUCAGAAUUAUUAUUGAGAUAUGCGGGGAGAAAUGCGUGGGAGAUUUUUUUUAUGUGUUUCAAGUUUAGCAUUUGAUUGGUAUGCGGUGAUUUCGCGCAGAAAUUCUUACAUUAAUUAAUUUACUUGCAGUUUUAAUGAUUCGGCAAGUUGUUGUUGUUUUUUUUUGCAAGAAAAAAGUUGGAGGAAUCCGGAAAAAGUUUUUAGAAAGGGAAGAUAAUUGAAGAAUGCAAACUUUAAAAAUGAAUUUCCAAACAUUCACAGGCUUCACAUAGUUGCCAAUGUCAAUGUUUGUUCUUUUAACCAGAUUAAAGUAAUUGAUACUCAGUAUAGCCAAUUAAAGGAAGAUAAAAGACCAGUUUUAAAAGAUGAUAAGUUCUUCUUUUACUUUAUCUCUGCAAUUUUAAAUUAAUAUUCGAAACGCGUAAAACUUAUCGUCCAAUUAACGAAGCUUACGUGAUUCGCAUUUCAUUUAGAUGAUGAUUAGAUGAAAUGUUUUUUUUAUUUCCCUGGAAAAG
This is a long non-coding RNA of Bradysia coprophila, 946 nucleotides long. The record is from RefSeq and is a predicted model, not a curated record. NCBI's taxonomy places the organism in Eukaryota, Metazoa, Arthropoda, Insecta, Diptera, Sciaridae.